This 242-nucleotide ribosomal RNA is filed under the name uncultured bacterium. RNAcentral's name for it is "partial 16S ribosomal RNA". It matches the Rfam family "Bacterial small subunit ribosomal RNA", at positions 98 to 334 of the family's 1533-position model. The record is from RNAcentral.
GCGGACGGGUGAGUAACACGUGGGUAACCUGCCCAAGAGAUCGGGAUAACACCUGGAAACAGAUGCUAAUACCGGAUAACAACAGAUGAUGCCUAUCAACUGUUUAAAAGAUGGUUCUGCUAUCACUCUUGGAUGGACCUGCGGUGCAUUAGCUAGUUGGUAGGGUAACGGCCUACCAAGGCGAUGAUGCAUAGCCGAGUUGAGAGACUGAUCGGCCACAUUGGGACUGAGACACGGCCCAA